CAUUAAGUUGGGCACUCUAGAGAGACUGCCAGGGAUAACCUGGAGGAAGGUGGGGAUGACGUCAAAUCAUCAUGCCCCUUAUGCUUAGGGCUACACACGGGCUACAAUGGGUAGUACAGAGGGUUGCCAAGCCGUAAGGUGGAGCUAAUCCCUUAAAGCUACUCUCAGUUCGGAUUGUAGGCUGAAACUCGCCUACAUGAAGCUGGAGUUACUAGUAAUCGCAGAUCAGAAUGCUGCGGUGAAUGCGUUCCCGGGUCUUGUACACACCGCCCGUCACACCACGGGAGUUGGAGACGCCCGAAGCCGAUUA
Molecule: ribosomal RNA, 310 nt
Filed under: Clostridioides difficile
Lineage: Bacteria; Bacillati; Bacillota; Clostridia; Peptostreptococcales; Peptostreptococcaceae
Description: bacterial SSU rRNA
Rfam family: Bacterial small subunit ribosomal RNA
Source: RNAcentral